RNAcentral lists this ribosomal RNA (528 nucleotides) under uncultured euryarchaeote. Its description in RNAcentral is "bacterial SSU rRNA". It matches the Rfam family "Archaeal small subunit ribosomal RNA", at positions 339 to 868 of the family's 1478-position model. The record is from RNAcentral. Lineage: Archaea; Methanobacteriati; Methanobacteriota.
GUACGAAAACUUCGCAAUGCGGGAAACCGCGACGAGGGGAUUCCAAGUGCUCAUGGUUUUCCAUGGGCUGUUUUCCUGCCUAAAAAGCAGGGAGAGUAAGGGCUGGGUAAGACGGGUGCCAGCCGCCGCGGUAAUACCCGCAGCCCGAGUGGUGAUCGUUAUUAUUGGGCCUAAAGCGUCCGUAGCCUGCCUGGUAAAUCCUUGGGUAAAUCGGGCAGCUUAACUGUCCGAAUUCCGGGGAGACUGCUAGGCUUGGAACCGGGAGAGGUCGGAGGUACUCCGGGGGUAGAGGUGAAAUUCUGUAAUCCUCGGGGGACCACCAGUGGCGAAGGCGUCCGACUUGAACGGGUUCGACGGUGAGGGACGAAGCCCUGGGGCACAAACCGGAUUAGAUACCCGGGUAGUCCAGGGUGUAAACGCUGCGGGCUUGGUGUUGGGGGUCCUACGUGGGCGUCCAGUGCCGGAGAGAAGUUGUUAAGCUCGCCGCCUGGGGAGUACGGUCGCAAGACUGAAACUUAAAGGAAUUGG